CGCUAGCUACAGGCUUAACACAUGCAAGUCGAGGGGCAGCAUGGUCUUAGCUUGCUAAGGCCGAUGGCGACCGGCGCACGGGUGAGUAACACGUAUCCAACCUGCCGUCUACUCUUGGACAGCCUUCUGAAAGGAAGAUUAAUACAAGAUGGCAUCAUGAGUCCGCAUGUUCACAUGAUUAAAGGUAUUCCGGUAGACGAUGGGGAUGCGUUCCAUUAGAUAGUAGGCGGGGUAACGGCCCACCUAGUCUUCGAUGGAUAGGGGUUCUGAGAGGAAGGUCCCCCACAUUGGAACUGAGACACGGUCCAAACUCCUACGGGAGGCAGCAGUGAGGAAUAUUGGUCAAUGGGCGAGAGCCUGAACCAGCCAAGUAGCGUGAAGGAUGACUGCCCUAUGGGUUGUAAACUUCUUUUAUAAAGGAAUAAAGUCGGGUAUGCAUACCCGUUUGCAUGUACUUUAUGAAUAAGGAUCGGCUAACUCCGUGCCAGCAGCCGCGGUAAUACGGAGGAUCCGAGCGUUAUCCGGAUUUAUUGGGUUUAAAGGGAGCGUAGAUGGAUGUUUAAGUCAGUUGUGAAAGUUUGCGGCUCAACCGUAAAAUUGCAGUUGAUACUGGAUAUCUUGAGUGCAGUUGAGGCAGGCGGAAUUCGUGGUGUAGCGGUGAAAUGCUUAGAUAUCACGAAGAACUCCGAUUGCGAAGGCAGCCUGCUAAGCUGCAACUGACAUUGAGGCUCGAAAGUGUGGGUAUCAAACAGGAUUAGAUACCCUGGUAGUCCACACGGUAAACGAUGAAUACUCGCUGUUUGCGAUAUACAGCAAGCGGCCAAGCGAAAGCGUUAAGUAUUCCACCUGGGGAGUACGCCGGCAACGGUGAAACUCAAAGGAAUUGACGGGGGCCCGCACAAGCGGAGGAACAUGUGGUUUAAUUCGAUGAUACGCGAGGAACCUUACCCGGGCUUAAAUUGCAGAUGAAUUACGGUGAAAGCCGUAAGCCGCAAGGCAUCUGUGAAGGUGCUGCAUGGUUGUCGUCAGCUCGUGCCGUGAGGUGUCGGCUUAAGUGCCAUAACGAGCGCAACCCUUGUUGUCAGUUACUAACAGGUUCCGCUGAGGACUCUGACAAGACUGCCAUCGUAAGAUGUGAGGAAGGUGGGGAUGACGUCAAAUCAGCACGGCCCUUACGUCCGGGGCUACACACGUGUUACAAUGGGGGGUACAGAGGGCCGCUACCACGCGAGUGGAUGCCAAUCCCAAAAACCUCUCUCAGUUCGGACUGGAGUCUGCAACCCGACUCCACGAAGCUGGAUUCGCUAGUAAUCGCGCAUCAGCCACGGCGCGGUGAAUACGUUCCCGGGCCUUGUACACACCGCCCGUCAAGCCAUGGGAGCCGGGGGUACCUGAAGUGCGUAACCGCGAGGAGCGCCCUAGGGUAAAACUGGUGACUGGGGC
This 1443-nucleotide ribosomal RNA is filed under the name uncultured organism. Its description in RNAcentral is "16S ribosomal RNA". It matches the Rfam family "Bacterial small subunit ribosomal RNA". The record is from RNAcentral.